GCACUCAAGUCCUGUCUCAGGCUUUGCUUU
RNAcentral lists this non-coding RNA (30 nucleotides) under Homo sapiens (human). Lineage: Eukaryota; Metazoa; Chordata; Mammalia; Primates; Hominidae. The record is from RNAcentral.